ACUCCUGCCAAAGCUGCCGAGACGGUAUCCUUUUUCUGGAUCCCCUUCCACGAAAGCGUGGGAGCUGUCUUUUCACUCUGCCUAAUAAUCUGCACUUCCGCACACACUCUUUGGGUCCAUGAGUUCUAUUUAAACGCUUUUAGCUACCUUGCAGUACUUUUCUGGAAUAUGUUUGGCCUCCCCAGGUUUGUUAAAGCCACAGAGAAACCCCAGCAUCCUCUAUCUGAAUGAUUCUGACCCAUUGGCUUUGUGAAACCUACCUUUUGAAAUUCAAGAGUUGAAAUGCUUCGAUUACUGUAAAUAUCUAUACUUCCAAGUUUUACAGAAGAAAAGGAAAGACAAGCCAAGAAGGACAGAUCCCUGGGGAACAUGGAGAAAGAAAGUAGACUGAGGAAUCUUAAGAGGCCGUGGGUCCUUGCAGUGUGUUCAUACAGGCAUGCUGAACAGUUAAUAAUUCUGAGAUAUGUUUCAUAAGCUUCCUUGGAGAGUCUGGCAGGAUGGAACACCAUUUGCCUAUAGUGGUGGCCGAUCUAUUCAUGUUUGGUGUGGCUUUCUCUCCUGCAUUUCAUUCUCUCUCUCAUUCCUGUCCGUUGGGUGCCUAUUCAUAAUAAAUGGUCUGCAUGCAAGCUCUUUUUCCAGUUUAUGCAUUCCGAGUACUUCAAGCUAAG
Callithrix jacchus (white-tufted-ear marmoset) is the source of this 668-nucleotide long non-coding RNA. RefSeq lists it as uncharacterized. NCBI's taxonomy places the organism in Eukaryota, Metazoa, Chordata, Mammalia, Primates, Cebidae. The record is from RefSeq and is a predicted model, not a curated record.